GGCGAACGGGUGAGUAACACGUGGGUGAUCUGCCCUGCACUUCGGGAUAAGCCUGGGAGACUGGGUCUAAUACCGGAUAGGACGAUGGUUUGGAUGCCAUUGUGGAAAGUUUUUCGGUGUGGGAUGAGCUCGCGGCCUAUCAGCUUGUUGGUGGGGUAAUGGCCUACCAAGGCGUCGACGGGUAGCCGGCCUGAGAGAGUGUACGGCCACAUUGGGACUGAGAUACGGCCCAG
This 233-nucleotide ribosomal RNA is filed under the name uncultured Actinomycetales bacterium. RNAcentral describes it as "partial 16S ribosomal RNA". It matches the Rfam family "Bacterial small subunit ribosomal RNA", at positions 97 to 334 of the family's 1533-position model. Lineage: Bacteria; Bacillati; Actinomycetota; Actinomycetes; Actinomycetales. The record is from RNAcentral.